This 355-nucleotide unclassified non-coding RNA is filed under the name soil metagenome. Its description in RNAcentral is "partial contains 5.8S ribosomal RNA, internal transcribed spacer 2, and large subunit ribosomal RNA". The stretch from base 1 to 120 matches the Rfam family "5.8S ribosomal RNA", at positions 35 to 154 of the family's 154-position model. The record is from RNAcentral.
GAUGAAGAACGUAGCGAAAUGCGAUAAGUAAUGUGAAUUGCAGAAUUCAGUGAAUCAUCGAAUCUUUGAACGCACAUUGCGCCCAUUAGUAUUCUAGUGGGCAUGCCUGUUCGAGCGUCAUUAAGUCCACUUAAGCCCUGCUUAGUGUUGGGAGACUGCUCCAGCGGUGCUACCCUGUAGCUACCCUGCAGCUCCUCAAAGACAGCGGCGGAGUUGUGGUAUCCUCUGAGCUUAGUAACUUGUUCUAGCUUUCGAGUACACCAUUUCCCCUGCCGUAAAACCCUUAAUUUUUAAUGGUUGACCUCGGAUCAGGUAGGAAUACCCGCUGAACUUAAGCAUAUCAAUAAGCGGAGGA